UACGUAGGGCGCAAGCGUUGUCCGGAAUCAUUGGGCGUAAAGCGCGCGUAGGUGGCUUCGUAAGUCCGUUGUGAAAGUCAAAGGCUCAACCUUUGAAAGCCGAUGGAUACUGUGAAGCUAGAGUACGGAAGAGGCGAGUGGAAUUCCUGGUGUAGCGGUGGAAUGCGCAGAUAUCAGGAGGAACACCAAUAGCGAAGGCAGCUCGCUGGGACGUUACUGACACUGAGGCGCGAAAGCGUGGGGAGCAAACAGG
RNAcentral lists this ribosomal RNA (253 nucleotides) under uncultured bacterium. RNAcentral's name for it is "partial 16S ribosomal RNA". It matches the Rfam family "Bacterial small subunit ribosomal RNA", at positions 524 to 776 of the family's 1533-position model. The record is from RNAcentral.